Long non-coding RNA from Microtus ochrogaster (prairie vole), 597 nucleotides. RefSeq lists it as uncharacterized. The transcript is spliced from 4 exons. NCBI's taxonomy places the organism in Eukaryota, Metazoa, Chordata, Mammalia, Rodentia, Cricetidae. The record is from RefSeq and is a predicted model, not a curated record.
GCCCCGCUGGCGCUGGCGUAAGGUACAGUGGCACGCGAGUGAAUGGUACCCAGAGUAAAGCAGACGCAGGUGUUACAGCUGGGAAGCCUGCUCCGUGUCAAGUACUUGGACUGAAGAAGCUCGAAAACUAUGUUUUCAGGAAGGAGAGGAGAGAUGCUUGCCAAUACACUGGAAGUGACUUCUCACACUUCAGUGACCAAAGAAAGUCCUAUAUGCACACGAAAUGAGAGAGUAUUUACAUGGCUUCUGCAGGGCACCUGGGAGCCACAGCAGUCUGGGAUCACCUCAUUCUAAUUUGAUGAAUUAAGUUAAUUGGAUGUUGGCUGAGGCUUCGCGAAACCCCGUCUGCUUCCAAUCCAUCCGGUCCUAAGAAGGAAGAAAUGUCCCAACUACUGAGCCUGCUGUCCUGAGUGCCGUCAUGCUCCCGGCCCUUUCCUGGUGGCUCGUCAGGACCUCUCUGCCUCUGACGCUUUGGACAAGAUUUCAUUUUCCGUUUUUCUGCUGUUCCUGUCACUGCCAGCCACCAGGAACACCGGGCAGAUGUCUUCUGUCUGCCCUGACGGGAUGUUGUUAUUUGGGCAAUCUUCUUAAACUCGG